GACGAACGCUGGCGGCGUGCUUAACACAUGCAAGUCGAACGGAAAGGCCCUGCUUUUGUGGGGUGCUCGAGUGGCGAACGGGUGAGUAACACGUGAGUAACCUGCCCUUGACUUUGGGAUAACUUCAGGAAACUGGGGCUAAUACCGGAUAGGAGCUCCUGCUGCAUGGUGGGGGUUGGAAAGUUUCGGCGGUUGGGGAUGGACUCGCGGAUUAUCAGCUUGUUGGUGGGGUAGUGGCUUACCAAGGCUUUGACGGGUAGCCGGCCUGAGAGGGUGACCGGCCACAUUGGGCCUGAGAUACGGCCCAGACUCCUACGGGAGGCAGCAGUGCGGAAUAUUGCACAAUGGGCGGAAGCCUGAUGCAGCAACGCCGCGUGCGGGAUGACGGCCUUCGGGUUGUAAACCGCUUUCGCCUGUGACGAAGCGUGAGUGACGGUAAUGGGUAAAGAAGCACCGGCUAACUACGUG
This 468-nucleotide ribosomal RNA is filed under the name uncultured bacterium. RNAcentral describes it as "partial 16S ribosomal RNA". It matches the Rfam family "Bacterial small subunit ribosomal RNA", at positions 28 to 507 of the family's 1533-position model. The record is from RNAcentral.